GUGAGGAAUAUUGGACAAUGGGCGCAAGCCUGAUCCAGCCAUGCCGCGUGCAGGAAGACGCAUCUAUGGUGUGUAAACUGCUUUUGUACGGGAAGAAACACUCCCUCGUGAGGGAGCUUGACGGUACCGUAAGAAUAAGGAUCGGCUAACUCCGUGCCAGCAGCCGCGGUAAUACGGAGGAUCCAAGCGUUAUCCGGAAUCAUUGGGUUUAAAGGGUCCGUAGGCGGUUUAAUAAGUCAGUGGUGAAAGCCCAUCGCUCAACGAUAGAACGGCCAUUGAUACUGUUAGACUUGAAUUACAAGGAAGUAACUAGAAUAUGUAGUGUAGCGGUGAAAUGCUUAGAUAUUACAUGGAAUACCAAUUGCGAAGGCAGGUUACUACUUGUGGAUUGACGCUGAUGGACGAAAGCGUGGGGAGCGAACAGGAUUAGAAACCCGGGUAGUCC
Molecule: ribosomal RNA, 445 nt
Filed under: uncultured bacterium
Lineage: Bacteria
Description: partial 16S ribosomal RNA
Rfam family: Bacterial small subunit ribosomal RNA
Source: RNAcentral